CCUGCGGAAGGAUCAUUACCACAUAUCAUCGGGGGAGAACUUCGGUUCUCCUGUCUGAACCCUUGUCUUUUGCGUACUAUUUGUUUCCUUGGUGGGCUUGCCUGCCGAUAGGACAACCAUUAAACCUUUUGUAAUUGCAAUCAGCGUCAGAAAAAACAUAAUAAUUACAACUUUCAACAACGGAUCUCUUGGUUCUGGCAUCGAUGAAGAACGCAGCGAAAUGCGAAAAGUAGUGUGAAUUGCAGAAUUCAGUGAAUCAUCGAAUCUUUGAACGCACAUUGCGCCCCUUGGUAUUCCAUGGGGCAUGCCUGUUCGAGCGUCAUUUGUACCUUCAAGCUCUGCUUGGUGUUGGGUGUUUGUCCCGCUUUUUUGCGUGGACUCGCCUCAAAGCAAUUGGCAGCCGGCGUACUAGCCUGGGAGCGCAGCACAUUUUGCGCAUCUCGACUUGAACGCUUGCAUCCAUCAAGUUACUUUUUAACUCUUGACCUCGGAUCAGGUAGGGAUACCCGCUGAACUUAAGCAUAUCAAUAA
Molecule: unclassified non-coding RNA, 531 nt
Filed under: Neocucurbitaria keratinophila
Lineage: Eukaryota; Fungi; Ascomycota; Dothideomycetes; Pleosporales; Cucurbitariaceae
Description: sequence contains ITS1, 5.8S rRNA gene, ITS2
Rfam family: 5.8S ribosomal RNA (bases 169-322)
Source: RNAcentral